UGGUAGCGCCCUCCCGAAGGUUAAGCUACCUACUUCUUUUGCAACCCACUCCCAUGGUGUGACGGGCGGUGUGUACAAGGCCCGGGAACGUAUUCACCGUAGCAUUCUGAUCUACGAUUACUAGCGAUUCCGACUUCAUGGAGUCGAGUUGCAGACUCCAAUCCGGACUACGACGCACUUUAUGAGGUCCGCUUGCUCUCGCGAGGUCGCUUCUCUUUGUAUGCGCCAUUGUAGCACGUGUGUAGCCCUGGCCGUAAGGGCCAUGAUGACUUGACGUCAUCCCCACCUUCCUCCGGUUUAUCACCGGCAGUCUCCUUUGAGUUCCCGGCCGAGCCGCUGGCAACAAAGGAUAAGGGUUGCGCUCGUUGCGGGACUUAACCCAACAUUUCACAACACGAGCUGACGACAGCCAUGCAGCACCUGUCUCAGAGUUCCCGAAGGCACCAAAGCAUCUCUGCUAAGUUCUCUGGAUGUCAAGGCCAGGUAAGGUUCUUCGCGUUGCAUCGAAUUAAACCACAUGCUCCACCGCUUGUGCGGGCCCCCGUCAAUUCAUUUGAGUUUUAACCUUGCGGCCGUACUCCCCAGGCGGUCGACUUAACGCGUUAGCUCCGGAAGCCACGCCUCACGGGCACAACCUCCAAGUCGACAUCGUUUACGGCGUGGGACUACCAGGGUAUCUAAUCCUGUUUGCU
This 692-nucleotide ribosomal RNA is filed under the name Pantoea dispersa. Its description in RNAcentral is "partial 16S ribosomal RNA". The record is from RNAcentral. Lineage: Bacteria; Pseudomonadati; Pseudomonadota; Gammaproteobacteria; Enterobacterales; Erwiniaceae.